RNAcentral lists this ribosomal RNA (567 nucleotides) under uncultured bacterium. RNAcentral's name for it is "partial 16S ribosomal RNA". It matches the Rfam family "Bacterial small subunit ribosomal RNA", at positions 355 to 912 of the family's 1533-position model. The record is from RNAcentral.
UGGGGAAUAUUGCACAAUGGGCGCAAGCCUGAUGCAGCCAUGCCGCGUGUGUGAAGAAGGCCUUCGGGUUGUAAAGCACUUUCAGCGAGGAGGAAGGUGGUGAGCUUAAUACGCUCAUCAAUUGACGUUACUCGCAGAAGAAGCACCGGCUAACUCCGUGCCAGCAGCCGCGGUAAUACGGAGGGUGCAAGCGUUAAUCGGAAUUACUGGGCGUAAAGCGCACGCAGGCGGUUUGUUAAGUCAGAUGUGAAAUCCCCGGGCUCAACCUGGGAACUGCAUUUGAAACUGGCAAGCUAGAGUCUCGUAGAGGGGGGUAGAAUUCCAGGUGUAGCGGUGAAAUGCGUAGAGAUCUGGAGGAAUACCGGUGGCGAAGGCGGCCCCCUGGACGAAGACUGACGCUCAGGUGCGAAAGCGUGGGGCAGCAAACAGGAUUAGAUACCCUAGUAGUCCAGCGCUGUAAACGAUGUCGAUUUGGAGGUUGUGCCCUUGAGGCGUGGCUUCCGGAGCUAACGCGUUAAAUCGACCGCCUGGGGAGUACGGCCGCAAGGUUAAAACUCAAAUGAAUUG